UGGGGAAUAUUGCACAAUGGGCGAAAGCCUGAUGCAGCAACGCCGCGUGAGGGACGACGGCCUUCGGGUUGUAAACCUCUUUUAGCAAGGAAGAAGCGAAAGUGACGGUACUUGCAGAAAAAGCGCCGGCUAACUACGUGCCAGCAGCCGCGGUAAUACGUAGGGCGCAAGCGUUAUCCGGAAUUAUUGGGCGUAAAGAGCUCGUAGGCGGUUUGUCGCGUCUGCUGUGAAAACCCGAGGCUCAACCUCGGGCCUGCAGUGGGUACGGGCAGACUAGAGUGCGGUAGGGGGAGAUUGGAACUCCUGGGUGUAGCGNCGGAAUGCGCAGAUAUCAGGAAGAACACCGAUGGCGAAGGCAGAUCUCUGGGCCGUAACUGACGCUGAGGAGCGAAAGGGUGGGGAGCAAACAGGCUUUGAGAUACCCUGGUAGUCCACCCCCGUAAACGUUGGGAACUAGUUGUGGGGGUCCAUUCCACGGAUUCCGUGACGCAGCUAACGCAUUAAGUUCCCGCUGGGGAGUNCGGCCGCAAGGCUAAAACUUGAAAGGAAUUGACGGGGUCAUAGCUGUUUCC
This 572-nucleotide ribosomal RNA is filed under the name uncultured bacterium. RNAcentral's name for it is "partial 16S ribosomal RNA". It matches the Rfam family "Bacterial small subunit ribosomal RNA", at positions 355 to 937 of the family's 1533-position model. The record is from RNAcentral.